UAGGGAAUUGUUCGCAAUGGGCGCAAGCCUGACGACGCAACGCCGCGUGGAGGAUGAAGGGCUUCGGCUCGUAAACUCCUUUCGACCGAGAUGAAUACCCGCAGGGCCAAUACCCUUGCGGACUGACAGUAUCGAGGGAAGAAGCCCCGGCUAACUCUGUGCCAGCAGCCGCGGUAAUACAGAGGGCGCGAGCGUUGUCCGGAAUCGCUGGGCGUAAAGGGCGCGUAGGUGGCGGCGUAAGGCCGCGGUGAAAGUUCGGGGCUCAGCCCUGAAUCGGCCGCGGCGACUGCGUCGCUUGGGCACUGUAGAGGCAGAUGGAAUUCCGGGUGUAGCGGUGGAAUGCGUAGAGAUCCGGAAGAACACCGGUGGCGAAGGCGGUCUGCUGGGCAGUGGAGUCGCAAGGCUCCGUAGCCGACACUGAGGCGCGACAGCGUGGGGAGCAAA
Molecule: ribosomal RNA, 444 nt
Filed under: uncultured bacterium
Lineage: Bacteria
Description: bacterial SSU rRNA
Rfam family: Bacterial small subunit ribosomal RNA
Source: RNAcentral